AUGUCCCAAGCAGGACGUGAGAUUCUAAUCAAGGCGGUGGCGCAGGCCCUACCCACCUUCCUAAGGAGUUUGUUUAAAUUCCCUAGAAGCACCUAUGACGAUUUAGGGUGGAUGAUUCGUAGCUAUUGGUGGGGCGCAUACACAGGCAAGGGGAAAACGCACUUGAAAUCAUGGGACUCGCUUCUGAGGCCCAAAUCGGCUGGGGGUAUGGGAUUCAAGGACUUCAGACUAUUCAACCAAGCAAUGUUAGCUCGGCAAGCAUGGCGUAUUUUGGUCAACCCGGAAUGUCUUUGUGCGCGCUUCUUGAAGGCAAGGUAUUUCCCUAAUGGACGAUUAGAAGAUAUUGUUUUCACUAGCAACGCUUCGCAAACUUGGCAGGCCAUCGUGCAUCGGUUGGAAUUGCUGAAGAAAGGCUUAGUCUGGCGCAUCGGUAACGGGCAGUCGGUCCGAAUUUGGCGGGACUCCUGGAUACCACACCCUGUUGGUCGGCCACCAAUUACCCAACAGGGAAGGUGCUGGCUCCGCCGAGUCUCAAAGCUCCUAGACGAGCAUCGUGCAUGGCGCGGAACCCUACUUCAAUAGUACUUUAUGCCCAUUGAUGUUCAGGAGAUACUAAAGAUUAAAGUGCCUCGGCUGGGGGCAGAUUUCCUUGCAUGGGGUGCAGAACGUACUGGUAUCUUCACCGUACGUAGUGCGUACCGACUGGCGCUUGAGGACAAGCUUCGUGCCUCUUCACUCGCAGCGAGCAGGGCACCGGACGGGCAACGUGCCGUCUGGGCAUUAUUAUAUAUGGAGGUGCCCUGCUCCUCCUAA
This 813-nucleotide ribosomal RNA is filed under the name Triticum aestivum (bread wheat). Its description in RNAcentral is "partial small subunit ribosomal RNA". Lineage: Eukaryota; Viridiplantae; Streptophyta; Magnoliopsida; Poales; Poaceae. The record is from RNAcentral.